CAGUCGCCACGGUAAUACGUAGGCGGCAAGCGUUGUCCGGAAUUAUUGGGCGUAAAGGGAGCGCAGGUGGGACGGUAAGUCCGUCUUAAAAGGCAGGGGCUCAGCCCCUGUAAGGGAUGGAAACUAUCGAUCUUGAGUGCCGGAGAGGAAAGCGGAAUUCCCAGUGUAGCGGUGAAAUGCGUAGAUAUUGGGAAGAACACCAGUGGCGAAGGCGGCUUUCUGGACGGCAACUGACACUGAGGCUCGAAAGCCAGGGGAGCGAACGGGAUUAGAUACCCGCGUAGUCCCUGUCUCUUAUACC
RNAcentral lists this ribosomal RNA (301 nucleotides) under uncultured bacterium. RNAcentral describes it as "partial 16S ribosomal RNA". It matches the Rfam family "Bacterial small subunit ribosomal RNA", at positions 509 to 808 of the family's 1533-position model. The record is from RNAcentral.